Molecule: long non-coding RNA, 3940 nt
Filed under: Mus musculus (house mouse)
Lineage: Eukaryota; Metazoa; Chordata; Mammalia; Rodentia; Muridae
Description: long non-coding RNA chr14:119308284-119312224
Source: RNAcentral
UUUUUUGUUUGUUUGUUUGUUUGUUUUGUUUUUUUGUUUUUUGUUUUUUUGUUUUUUUGAGUUUAGAGUUCCAGUUUGAGAUGAAAAGCUCUGAGAAUUGAGUUGAUUAUCUAACAAACAUGUGUAUUUCAUGGAAAAUUUUCUGUCCCUUCAGUUUCAUGCUGUCAGUUCUUAGAGUCCAAGCAUUUCUCUUGUACGCAGGACGGAGUUGGAUCUUGUUUGCAAUCCAUUCAACUGUUCCAUGCAAUCUGGAGCACUCAGGCCUCAUACAGCCAAAAAAAAAAAAAAAAAAAAAAAGAAUGAAUUUGGUUUAACAAAAGGCAGUAAACUGACUUAAAACAUCAUAGGAUGUUUUUGAUAAAAACCUUGCCAAUGACAACACCCUGCUGCAUGUCGAAAGGAUGGACAUGCUUGAUUGUGGAAAGGCACUAAAGUUGCUAUUGUCGUUUCAUUAUUUGAAGACUGCAGUUUCAGGGCCUUUUCCUUUGUGAUUUGAUGAGUUUCACAAUCUGUUCUGCAUUCAUUCUUUUCAGGUUAUAUUUUGUGUACCCAGGUGCCACGGAAAAUGCCAUUCAGCUCGCCCACCUAGCACCUAGAGCUCCAAUGGUUUGUCAGAUCCUGAUAACAACGUAACUUUCAAACAUGUAUGUCCUACUUACACCGUUUCGUCUGUUCCUGCUGUGACAGAAAUAUCUAAACUAAGCAAUUUAAGGGAGGAAAGACUUACUUUGGCUCAUGGCUUUCAGACAUCUUUGUCUGUGGUUGGAUGGUGCCAUGGCUUUGGUGCUGAAGCACGGCAGACUCUCAGGGCAUUCAGGUUAGGAAUCUGAUUUCCACACAGCAGUCAGAAAGGAGAUUAGAACAGGAAAAGCCAGAAACAUUCUAUGUAUCCAACAGGAAGUCCGUAUCUGACUCCCAGCUGGGCCAGGAUGAGGCUGAGAGUUUGCCAUGCUUAAUGACAGCAUGGCUCCCCUAAGCUAAGUUAGGGCCACUGUUGACACAUUCAUUUUGAUAUUGUCCUUCAUAAAGCAGAGAAGAAGGGAAUGAAUAGUUAAACACACAGGUGCUGCCUGCUUUGUAGACAGUGGCGUCGCCGUGCAGCCAUCGCUCAGUUCAGCAAGGUGUUUCAUCAGGUGACGCACCUGGGACCAGAACAUAACUGGAGUUCCACUGCAUAAUAAAUGGAAGCAAAAGUUGUAAUUUGGAACUUGGACAGUCUCGCAGUGUGUAUAUUAAAACAUUUUGUCAUCUCCAAAGCACGGUAGACAUUGGAACUAGAAUUCUCCUGUUUGAUUUAUUAAAUUACUCAAUCAAUUCAACUGUGACCUCUGAAUCUCAGACUUUUUUUUUUCUUCUUCUUCUUCUUGUUAAAACACGGCAUUGAUUUCUACCUCACAGGCCACCCCGAGGACUUAGCAGCCUCAGUAAUUGAGAUAAUGGAAGGCUCAUGUUCUGAAGGCUUGGUCCCCCAUGUGGGGCAGCAUUGGGAGGUCUUGGAGUCUCUAAGAGGCAGACUAGGAGAUGGAAGUGCAUCAGCAGAAGGGUGCCUAGGAAGGGGACUUAAGACCACAGUUCCUCUGUUUAUUCUUAGUCUCUGGACCACCCUCAGGAGCACAGCCUCUUUAGUGACCCCCAUCACAGUGCCAUCUCUCACAAUGAAACCAAAGGUGAUCAAGGACUGAAACCCCAGAAACCUAGAGCUUGAGGUACACCUUUCUUCUUUUUAUGCUAAUUCGUUUCAGGUGUCCUGCUGAUUGUGGGUGGGGCUGUGGCAUCAACAGUCCACCCUUGUCUCACCUGCUAAUGGAGCAUACCUGGAGACCAAGACACUGUUUCCUGCUCCCACAAAGAUUCGUAUGAGUUUUCUCUAGUUAAUUAGUAUUUUUGCUUGUUAACGCCUCCCAGCUCAUUAGGAUGUCUGUGAUGUGACCUGGCAAAUGAACGGAAUUUUAGAUGAAAGCUCAUGAAUCAGAUGAAGCAAACUCAGAAAUUUUGGAGGUGAAUGCUGCCUGCUUCUCUGCAGGGAUGAUUCCCUCCUGGAUGCAGUAAGAGCUCUAUUAGCCUUCCCCUCUGUGAGUGCAUUUUAUCACCCAAACCGGUAUGGAUGCUUCUGAAAACAGAAACCAUGUCUGGGUAUUUACAUCUGGGCCUUAGGUAUAAUCUGGAAUCAUCCAGGCAAAUGAGGAAAGCAGAGCUUCUGACUCAUGUUGGCUUCUUUUGGGAUCUGCUUCAACUGAAGGUGGAGAAUUUCACAAAGAAGAACUCUCUCUGUUUACGACAAACUAAUAUUGUAGCUGCAUUCUAAUGCCGGGUGGAUGUUUUCCAGAAGGUGGUUGUUGUCAGAAGAGUUGGGGAUCCCACGGAAUCAAGAGUAUGGCUACUUGAUUGUACAUAAUUAAGCAGUGGUAACAGGACCCAUAGAUAAAUUGAUUUAUCAUGGGAUAUGAGGAGAAUUCCCUGUUCCCAAUCCUAGUACUCUAGUAUCCACAGAGCUUUAUUUUCUGUUUACUGUGUAUCCACUGGAGCAUUUGUACAUGAACUAUAAAGCUCCGUGACUCAAACAAUAUGCAUAGACCCUUUGCAGAUUUUCAAUAACACACCCAUCAUUUAUUCAAGUGUGCUAUGUAGAUUAGCAUUUCUUUGUGAGAGGUAUGGCGGGAUGUUAGAACACAGGCUGUUACCAGUGACUGGGUUUGGAAUGUUGCUCUGUAUGCUUGUCUACUUUGCGAUUUUGUGACCACCGAUACUAUAGGAAUAUGGACUAACUGGGAAGACUAUAGCUCACAACAAUGCAUUGUACAAUCCAAAUUGCUGGAAGAUAGAAUUCUGGAAAAUUUCACAACAAAGAAAUGAUCAGUGCUUAAGAUAAGGACAUACUCAUUAUCUUGCUUUGACUUUUGUUACAAUGCAUACAUAUGUAAAAACAUUGCAUUUAACACCAUAAAUGUGUUCAUUUAUUAGUUGGCGGUAAAACAAAACUAUGAGGAUAAUAGUAGCUCCUAGUUGCUAUGUUGGGGCACUGAAUGGCUGCUUGAUAAAUGCUAACCGCAACGGCACAUGCUAGAAACUAUGUAAAUAUUUAUGUUAAAAUGCAGAGAAAGCGUCUCCCUGUGAUCAGGUACCAGUUCCAUUACGUGUGAAGUGCUCACAAACACACAUUUGUUAAUAAAGAAAAGGGCUAAAGAGAAGUAAGGUCUAGAGAUGGCCACAGGAUUUUCAGUAGAGGAACAGUUGGAAACCCAUCCACAGAAGGCUGUGAGGUGAGGCCUCUGUUAUAAGGGCUGCUUUUGGGGUAUAACGUACUCUAGAGACAUUUGUAAGAUUCCCUUCAUUUUAUUAUUUGGAGCCAUCGGAUUUUGCAGGGAUUCUCCUGCAAUCACUUUCCAUGUCGUUAGUAUUGCCACCAUAAUCACCAAUAUUUUAAUCAUUGCCAUAAACUAUAUAUUUCAUUAGAUGGUUUUUUGCAAUUCCCUAUGUGUGUAAGAAGCAGUGGGUUCAGUUUCUAGGCCUAGAGGUUUUGAAAUGAUAGGUUUUAUUUGUUUUCUUUUUCUUCUUAUGGAAGCCUGAUGAGACUGUGGGGGAUUUAGUGUGUCUGUUGUUGAGUUCUCUGAAUGAAGCAGGAAAAUAGAAACAUUUGUGGCCCUGACAGAACAACAUCCAGUAAUGACUGUGUCUAAAUUCUGGAUAGAAUGGCCUCCGAAUCACUGUCACAGAGCGGUAUGAGCAAGGUCAUCUUGUUAUCUGGUUCCCAGGUCUCCUGACAGAUGUCAGGGAGAGAAAAGAAAACAUCAAGAAACUUAUAGGAAAACAGAGGAUGCAGAAUAAAGGGCCAUGGGGGACUAGAAUUAGGAAGGAUUGUAUUGAGACUUUGGCUGUGGCGCUUAUUUCAUGAGCCUCAGUAAUUUGUGAGUCAAUUCCAAAUCUAUCUCAUCUCACACAG